GUUCCUGUAGUUAAAAUUACAUAACAACGGCUUUUCAGGCCGUAGGUUUCGGAGAAAAGCCGGGCAGGAACU
Molecule: transfer RNA, 72 nt
Filed under: Certhia himalayana
Lineage: Eukaryota; Metazoa; Chordata; Aves; Passeriformes; Certhiidae
Description: tRNA-Glu
Rfam family: tRNA
About the family: Transfer RNA (tRNA) molecules are approximately 80 nucleotides in length. Their secondary structure includes four short double-helical elements and three loops (D, anti-codon, and T loops).
Source: RNAcentral